UACGUGGGGUGCAAGCGUUGUUCGGAAUUACUGGGCGUAAAGCGCGUGUAGGCGGCUUAUUAUGUCAGGUGUGAAAGCCCUCGGCCUAACCGAGGAAGUGCGCCUGAAACUGAUAAGCUUGAGUACGAGAGAGGAGGACGGAAUUCCCAGUGUAGAGGUGAAAUUCGUAGAUAUUGGGAGGAACACCGGCGGCGAAAGCGGUUCUCUGGAUCGAUACUGACGCUAAGACGCGAAAGCGUGGGGAGCAAACAGG
This 253-nucleotide ribosomal RNA is filed under the name uncultured bacterium. Its description in RNAcentral is "partial 16S ribosomal RNA". It matches the Rfam family "Bacterial small subunit ribosomal RNA", at positions 524 to 776 of the family's 1533-position model. The record is from RNAcentral. RNAcentral also lists the same sequence under 1 other name.